RNAcentral lists this transfer RNA (94 nucleotides) under Terriglobia bacterium. RNAcentral describes it as "tRNA-Ser". It matches the Rfam family "tRNA". From Rfam's summary of the family: Transfer RNA (tRNA) molecules are approximately 80 nucleotides in length. Their secondary structure includes four short double-helical elements and three loops (D, anti-codon, and T loops). The record is from RNAcentral. Lineage: Bacteria; Pseudomonadati; Acidobacteriota; Terriglobia.
GGAGAGGUGCCAGAGAGGCCGAUUGGGGCUGCCUGCUAAGCAGUUUAGGGGGCUAAAACCUCCUACGAGGGUUCGAAUCCCUCCCUCUCCGCCA